AUGCUUGCUUUGGCAGCACAUAUACUAAACCUGGAAUGAUACAGAGAAGAUUACCAUGGCCCCUGCACACGGAUGACAUGCAAAUUCAUGAAGCAUUCCAUAGUUUU
This 107-nucleotide small nuclear RNA is filed under the name Rhinopithecus bieti (black snub-nosed monkey). The record is from RNAcentral. Lineage: Eukaryota; Metazoa; Chordata; Mammalia; Primates; Cercopithecidae.